RNAcentral lists this ribosomal RNA (254 nucleotides) under uncultured bacterium. RNAcentral's name for it is "partial 16S ribosomal RNA". It matches the Rfam family "Bacterial small subunit ribosomal RNA", at positions 524 to 776 of the family's 1533-position model. The record is from RNAcentral.
UACGUAGGGGGCUAGCGUUGCUCGGAAUUACUGGGCGUAAAGAGCUCGUAGGUGGUUUGUCGCGUUGUUCGUGAAAACUCACAGCUCAACUGUGGGCGUGCGGUCGAUACGGGCAUCACUGGAGUUCGGCAGGGGAGACUGGAAUUCCUGGUGUAGCGGUGAAAUGCGCAGAUAUCAGGAGGAACACCGGUGGCGAAGGCGGGUCUCUGGGCCGAUACUGACGCUGAGGAGCGAAAGCUAGGGGAGCAAACGGG